Molecule: ribosomal RNA, 252 nt
Filed under: uncultured bacterium
Lineage: Bacteria
Also listed under: 1 other name
Description: partial 16S ribosomal RNA
Rfam family: Bacterial small subunit ribosomal RNA
Source: RNAcentral
UACGGGGGGGCAAGCGUUGUUCGGAAUUACUGGGCGUAAAGGGCGCGUAGGCGGCCUUCUAAGUCAGACGUGAAAUCCCUCGGCUCAACCGAGGAACUGCGUCUGAUACUGGAAGGCUUGAAUCCGGGAGAGGGAUGUGGAAUUCCAGGUGUAGCGGUGAAAUGCGUAGAUAUCUGGAGGAACACCGGUGGCGAAGGCGGCAUCCUGGACCGGUAUUGACGCUGAGGCGCGAAAGCUAGGGGAGCAAACGGG